AAAAUGCUGUUGUGUUCGACUUAGGAGAACUUCCCGUGCGUAUUUUAUAAUCCAACACAUUAUAAAAGGGAUUCGGUCUCCGACGGUGAAUUGCAGACCUCCCGCCGCAUCAGGUGUGCGGAGUUACGGAUGAAGGGAGCGUGAAACCGUCGGGCUGUUGCCCACCUGCGAGAUGGAGCGGGUUUUAUAAUCGCACGACGGCACGACGGCACAUUU
This 216-nucleotide non-coding RNA is filed under the name Ruminococcus sp. RNAcentral's name for it is "6S RNA". It matches the Rfam family "6S / SsrS RNA". Rfam says of the family: E. coli 6S RNA was the first non coding RNA to be sequenced, but its function was unknown until recently. It consists of 184 nucleotides that fold into an extended hairpin structure with a large single-stranded internal bulge. The 6S RNA specifically associates with RNA polymerase holoenzyme containing the sigma70 specificity factor. Lineage: Bacteria; Bacillati; Bacillota; Clostridia; Eubacteriales; Oscillospiraceae. The record is from RNAcentral.